AGGGCGCCACCACCAAGUGUGCCUGCUGCUUAUUUUGACUCAUCACGGGAAAACUUACCCGGCCCGGACACUGGCAGGAUUGACAGAUUGAGAGCUCUUUCUUGAUGAUUCGGGGGGUGGGGCAUGGCCGUUCUUAGUUGGGGGAGAAUUUGUCUGGUUAAUUCCGAUAACAAACAAGACUCUCUGCUGCUAAAUAGGCCACCGGCUUCCCUUUGUGGGUCCAACUUCUCUUCUUAACAGGGACGCGAUUCGUUACCACGAAACGAGAUUGAGCAGGUCUGUGAUGCCCUGCCCUGUAGAUGUUCCGCACGCGCGCUACACUGAACUGAUCAGAAUGCAUUACAGACCUGCUCCGGAAAGAGUGGGGAAACCAAUGAAACUUCUUCGUGGAUGGGAUAUGGGAAUGGCAUUAUUCCCCUUGAACGAAGAAUUUCCAGUAAGCGCCAAGCAUAAGCUCCGGUUGAUUACCUCCCCUGCCUUUGGACCCCCCGGCCGUCCCUUCUACCGAAUGAAUGAAUU
RNAcentral lists this ribosomal RNA (519 nucleotides) under uncultured eukaryote. Its description in RNAcentral is "bacterial SSU rRNA". It matches the Rfam family "Eukaryotic small subunit ribosomal RNA", at positions 1161 to 1699 of the family's 1831-position model. The record is from RNAcentral.